RNAcentral lists this microRNA precursor (46 nucleotides) under Canis lupus familiaris (dog). Its description in RNAcentral is "miRNA (ENSCAFG00845016125.1)". The record is from RNAcentral. Lineage: Eukaryota; Metazoa; Chordata; Mammalia; Carnivora; Canidae.
UGCUGUGGAUUAGGCUUUGGCUUAAGGGAAUGUGGCUGAUUGAUCU